AUACUUGUUCGUUUGGACGUUAAAUGGUUUUCUGUAGAAAAACUAAAGCUAUACAUGCCAAGCCUCACGGUUGCAUUUAUUAGAUAUUCCAAUUAGGUGAAUCAUAAUAACUUCGCAAAUCUCGGUUUUGCCGAGAUAAACCAUCCAAGUUUCUGCCCUAUCAUGCUUUCGAUGGUAGUGUAUUGGACUACCAUGGCUUUCACGGGUAACAGGGAAAAAAAAAAAAAAAUCUGGAGAAGGAGCUGAUCCCCUCCUUUUUUACAUCUACGGGGGGCCCCCCCCCCGUAAAUUACCCAAUCCUGACUCAGGGAGGUGGUGACAAGAUAUAAGGACGCUAUGAAAAAUAGUGAUUAUAGUGAGGGUAUUCCAAACCGAACCCCAGAACGAUUAGAGGGCAAGUCUGGUGCCAGCAGCCGCGGUAAUUCCAGCUCUAAUAGCGUAUAUUAAAGUUGCUGCAGUUAAAAGCUCGUAGUUGGAUUUCAAGGAUUGUGUACUCUCUCAGAGUAUGCACCCUACUAGUCUUUGACUUGUUCCGUGAGAAAUUAGAGGGUUU
RNAcentral lists this ribosomal RNA (553 nucleotides) under uncultured rumen protozoa. RNAcentral describes it as "partial 18S ribosomal RNA". It matches the Rfam family "Eukaryotic small subunit ribosomal RNA", at positions 117 to 714 of the family's 1831-position model. The record is from RNAcentral.